GAAAUGCGAUAAGUAGUGUGAAUUGCAGAAUUCAGUGAAUCAUCGAAUCUUUGAACGCACAUUGCGCCCUUUGGUAUUCCUUAGGGCAUGCCUGUUCGAGCGUCAUCUAAACCUUCAAGCCCUGCUUGGUGUCGGGUGCCUGUCCCGCCUCCGCGCGCGGACUCACCUCAAAUCCAUUGGCGGCCCCCGCGUCGGCCACGAGCGCAGCAGAAACGCGAACUCGUGAGCCCGUCCGGGCGGCUCCCAGAAGCUACACCCACCCAGUUUGACCUCGGAUCAGGUAGGGAUACCCGCUGAACUUAAGC
Molecule: unclassified non-coding RNA, 305 nt
Filed under: plant metagenome
Description: partial contains 5.8S ribosomal RNA, internal transcribed spacer 2, and large subunit ribosomal RNA
Rfam family: 5.8S ribosomal RNA (bases 1-105)
Source: RNAcentral